AUUGUGGAGCGUUAUAUAAACUUAAGUAGCCAAAUGGUGAACAAGAACGCUGUGAAACAAUAA
RNAcentral lists this non-coding RNA (63 nucleotides) under unclassified sequences. Its description in RNAcentral is "RAGATH-18 RNA". It matches the Rfam family "RAGATH-18 RNA". Rfam says of the family: Actinobacteria, Firmicutes, Fusobacteria, Thermotogae (1 example). Nearby to self-cleaving ribozyme genes The record is from Rfam by way of RNAcentral.